GGGUUGUGAGGUUAAGCGACUAAGCGUACACGGUGGAUGCCCUGGCAGUCAGAGGCGAUGAAGGACGUGCUAAUCUGCGAAAAGCGUCGGUAAGGUGAUAUGAACCGUUAUAACCGGCGAUGUCCGAAUGGGGAAACCCAGUGCAAUUCGUUGCACUAUCGUUAACUGAAUACAUAGGUUAACGAGGCGAACCGGGGGAACUGAAACAUCUAAGUACCCCGAGGAAAAGAAAUCAACCGAGAUUCCCCCAGUAGCGGCGAGCGAACGGGGAGCAGCCCAGAGUCUGAAUCAGCUUGUGUGUUAGUGGAACGGUCUGGAAAGUCCGACGGUACAGGGUGAUAGUCCCGUACACCAAAAUGCACAGGUUGUGAACUCGAAGAGUAGGGCGGGACACGUGGUAUCCUGUCUGAAUAUGGGGGGACCAUCCUCCAAGGCUAAAUACUCCUGACUGACCGAUAGUGAACCAGUACCGUGAGGGAAAGGCGAAAAGAACCCCGGCGAGGGGAGUGAAAAAGAACCUGAAACCGUGUACGUACAAGCAGUGGGAGCACCUUCGGGUGUGACUGCGUACCUUUUGUAUAAUGGGUCAGCGACUUAUAUUCUGUAGCAAGGUUAACCGUAUAGGGGAGCCGCAGGGAAACCGAGUCUUAACUGGGCGUUAAGUUGCAGGGUAUAGACCCGAAACCCGGUGAUCUAGCCAUGGGCAGGUUGAAGGUUGGGUAACACUAACUGGAGGACCGAACCGACUAAUGUUGAAAAAUUAGCGGAUGACUUGUGGCUGGGGGUGAAAGGCCAAUCAAACCGGGAGAUAGCUGGUUCUCCCCGAAAGCUAUUUAGGUAGCGCCUCGUGAAUUCAUCUUCGGGGGUAGAGCACUGUUUCGGCUAGGGGGUCAUCCCGACUUACCAACCCGAUGCAAACUACGAAUACCGAAGAAUGUUAUCACGGGAGACACACGGCGGGUGCUAACGUCCGUCGUGAAGAGGGAAACAACCCAGACCGCCAGCUAAGGUCCCAAAGUCAUGGUUAAGUGGGAAACGAUGUGGGAAGGCACAGACAGCCAGGAUGUUGGCUUAGAAGCAGCCAUCAUUUAAAGAAAGCGUAAUAGCUCACUGGUCGAGUCGGCCUGCGCGGAAGAUGUAACGGGGCUAAACCAUGCACCGAAGCUGCGGCAGCGACACUAUGUGUUGUUGGGUAGGGGAGCGUUCUGUAAGCCUGCGAAGGUGACCUGUGAGGGUUGCUGGAGGUAUCAGAAGUGCGAAUGCUGACAUAAGUAACGAUAAAGCGGGUGAAAAGCCCGCUCGCCGGAAGACCAAGGGUUCCUGUCCAACGUUAAUCGGGGCAGGGUGAGUCGACCCCUAAGGCGAGGCCGAAAGGCGUAGUCGAUGGGAAACAGGUUAAUAUUCCUGUACUUGGUGUUACUGCGAAGGGGGGACGGAGAAGGCUAUGUUAGCCGGGCGACGGUUGUCCCGGUUUAAGCAUGUAGGCUGGUUGUCCAGGCAAAUCCGGAUAAUCAAGGCUGAGGUGUGAUGACGAGGCACUACGGUGCUGAAGUAACAAAUGCCCUGCUUCCAGGAAAAGCCUCUAAGCAUCAGGUAACAUCAAAUCGUACCCCAAACCGACACAGGUGGUCAGGUAGAGAAUACCAAGGCGCUUGAGAGAACUCGGGUGAAGGAACUAGGCAAAAUGGUGCCGUAACUUCGGGAGAAGGCACGCUGGUGUGUAGGUGAAGCCCCUGCGGGUGGAGCUGAGACCAGUCGAAGAUACCAGCUGGCUGCAACUGUUUAUUAAAAACACAGCACUGUGCAAACACGAAAGUGGACGUAUACGGUGUGACGCCUGCCCGGUGCCGGAAGGUUAAUUGAUGGGGUUAUCCGUAAGGAGAAGCUCUUGAUCGAAGCCCCGGUAAACGGCGGCCGUAACUAUAACGGUCCUAAGGUAGCGAAAUUCCUUGUCGGGUAAGUUCCGACCUGCACGAAUGGCGUAAUGAUGGCCAGGCUGUCUCCACCCGAGACUCAGUGAAAUUGAACUCGCUGUGAAGAUGCAGUGUACCCGCGGCAAGACGGAAAGACCCCGUGAACCUUUACUAUAGCUUGACACUGAACAUUGAGCCUUGAUGUGUAGGAUAGGUGGGAGGCUUUGAAGCGUGGACGCCAGUCUGCGUGGAGCCAACCUUGAAAUACCACCCUUUAAUGUUUGAUGUUCUAACGUUGGCCCCUGACCGGGGUUGCGGACAGUGUCUGGUGGGUAGUUUGACUGGGGCGGUCUCCUCCCAAAGCGUAACGGAGGAGCACGAAGGUUAGCUAAUCCUGGUCGGACAUCAGGAGGUUAGUGCAAUGGCAUAAGCUAGCUUGACUGCGAGCGUGACGGCGCGAGCAGGUGCGAAAGCAGGUCAUAGUGAUCCGGUGGUUCUGAAUGGAAGGGCCAUCGCUCAACGGAUAAAAGGUACUCCGGGGAUAACAGGCUGAUACCGCCCAAGAGUUCAUAUCGACGGCGGUGUUUGGCACCUCGAUGUCGGCUCAUCACAUCCUGGGGCUGAAGUAGGUCCCAAGGGUAUGGCUGUUCGCCAUUUAAAGUGGUACGCGAGCUGGGUUUAGAACGUCGUGAGACAGUUCGGUCCCUAUCUGCCGUGGGCGCUGGAGAAUUGAGGGGGCUGCUCCUAGUACGAGAGGACCGGAGUGGACGCAUCACUGGUGUUCGGGUUGUCAUGCCAAUGGCACUGCCCGGUAGCUAAAUGCGGAAGAGAUAAGUGCUGAAAGCAUCUAAGCACGAAACUUGCCCCGAGAUGAGUUCUCCCUGAGACUUUAAGUCUCCUGAAGGAACGUUAAAGACGAUGACGUUGAUAGGCCGGGUGUGUAAGCGCAGCGAUGCGUUGAGCUAACCGGUACUAAUGAACCGUGAGGCUUAACCUUACAACGCCGAAG
RNAcentral lists this ribosomal RNA (2922 nucleotides) under Klebsiella pneumoniae. Its description in RNAcentral is "23S ribosomal RNA". It matches the Rfam family "Bacterial large subunit ribosomal RNA". The record is from RNAcentral. Lineage: Bacteria; Pseudomonadati; Pseudomonadota; Gammaproteobacteria; Enterobacterales; Enterobacteriaceae.